Non-coding RNA from Sturnus vulgaris (Common starling), 96 nucleotides. The record is from RefSeq and is a predicted model, not a curated record. Lineage: Eukaryota; Metazoa; Chordata; Aves; Passeriformes; Sturnidae.
UGAAGGGUCUGGAGGACAAGGAGCUGGGAGAGCUCAGCCUGGAGAAGAGGAGGCUCGGGGGGACCUUCUCACUCCCCACAACUCCCUGACAGGAGG